AAGAUGUAUGCUCAUGCUCGCUGUCGCCGCAGGGGAAUCCGGUGCGAAUCCGGAACUGUCCCGCAACGGUGUACUUGCGUGCAUGCAUACCCGUAUGCGCACGCCUGUUCAGUCCGAGGUCCUGCCGACAGCGUGCCCGGCCG
Actinobacteria bacterium OV320 is the source of this 143-nucleotide non-coding RNA. The record is from Rfam. Lineage: Bacteria; Bacillati; Actinomycetota; Actinomycetes.